Coregonus clupeaformis (lake whitefish) is the source of this 586-nucleotide long non-coding RNA. RefSeq lists it as uncharacterized. The record is from RefSeq and is a predicted model, not a curated record. Lineage: Eukaryota; Metazoa; Chordata; Actinopteri; Salmoniformes; Salmonidae. The transcript is spliced from 3 exons.
CUCAGUUGGAAAAUCAAGUGUAAACAAAUUGCGGUCAAAGACAAAGUACUGACUUUUUGCCAUAUUUCACCACAAAACAUCUUAUUUAAAAGCUUUCUUCAGAAUGUCCCAGCUUCCACCUCACCUUCCUCCGUUCCACCCCUGGAAGACCCAGUCCACCCUGGAUGCUGUAGCGUCAGCAAUGUGGCGCAGUCUCUGCCCUGGUCAAAGGAUGCUACCAAACCAUGACCUGGGACCAAUCUUUGCCAAUAUGUCACAGGACCUGGAGUCUGCAACCAUGCCCCUCUACACCAACUACUUUGACCCCAUCACUGACCACCUGCCCAACAGUUUCCCAUUGGGACACAAGCUGAACUUCAACCUGAGGCUGAACUGCUUUGACUCGUGGGCAGACCAAGAGAGAGAGAGGGAAAGAGGGAGGGCGAGACACCGCCAUGUCCCCUCUUAUGGAGGACCCCGCAUCAGUGGUGCCUGCCUGUCUAGACUGACUAGGAACGGAAUGCCAAGCGAGAGUAGAGGAUCUAUGACCAACAGUCAGUUUAUCUAUCAAAUGUAUGGUUACCACUGCAGAUGACCCUGGGCAUGU